AGAGUUUGAUCCUGGCUCAGGAUGAACGCUAGCGGCAGGCUUAACACAUGCAAGUCGAGGGGUAACAGGGUGCUUGCACCGCUGACGACCGGCGCACGGGGGCGUAACGCGUAUACAAUCUACCUUUUACAGAGAGAUACCCCAGAGAAAUUUGGAAUAAUACCUCAUAAUAUUAUUGCUCGGCAUCGAGUGACAAUUAAAGUUUCGGCGGUAAAAGAUGAGUAUGCGUCCUAUUAGCUAGUUGGUAAGGUAACGGCUUACCAAGGCGACGAUAGGUAGGGGUCCUGAGAGGGAGAUCCCCCACACUGGUACUGAGACACGGACCAGACUCCUACGGGAGGCAGCAGUGAGGAAUAUUGGUCAAUGGGCGAAAGCCUGAACCAGCCAUGCCGCGUGCAGGAAGACUGCCCUAUGGGUUGUAAACUGCUUUUAUACAGGAAGAAACACUCGGACGUGUCCGAGCUUGACGGUAGUGUAUGAAUAAGCAUCGGCUAACUCCGUGCCAGCAGCCGCGGUAAUACGGAGGAUGCAAGCGUUAUCCGGAUUCAUUGGGUUUAAAGGGUGCGUAGGCGGCUUUUUAAGUCAGUGGUGAAAUCCUGCCGCUUAACGGUAGAAUUGCCAUUGAUACUGAAAAGCUUGAGUACAUUUGAGGUAAGCGGAAUGUGUAGUGUAGCGGUGAAAUGCUUAGAUAUUACACAGAACACCAAUUGCGAAGGCAGCUUACUAAACUGAUACUGACGCUGAUGCACGAAAGCGUGGGGAGCGAACAGGAUUAGAUACCCUGGUAGUCCACGCCGUAAACGAUGCUCACUCGCUGUUUGCGAUACACAGCAAGCGGCCAAGCGAAAGCAUUAAGUGAGCCACCUGGGGAGUACGAUCGCAAGGUUGAAACUCAAAGGAAUUGACGGGGGCCCGCACAAGCGGAGGAACAUGUGGUUUAAUUCGAUGAUACGCGAGGAACCUUACCUGGGCUUAAAUGUAGAGCGACAGAUUGUGAAAGCAGUCCUUCUUCGGACGAUCUACAAGGUGCUGCAUGGUUGUCGUCAGCUCGUGCCGUGAGGUGUCGGGUUAAGUCCCAUAACGAGCGCAACCCUUAUCGUUAGUUGCCAGCGGAUCAUGCCGGGGACUCUAGCGAGACUGCCACCGUAAGGUGUGAGGAAGGUGGGGAUGACGUCAAAUCAGCACGGCCCUUAUGUCCAGGGCUACACACGUGUUACAAUGGCCGAUACAAAGGGCAGCUACCAGGUGACUGGAUGCUAAUCUCCAAAGUCGGUCUCAGUUCGGAUCGAAGUCUGCAACCCGACUUCGUGAAGCUGGAUUCGCUAGUAAUCGCAUAUCAGCCAUGAUGCGGUGAAUACGUUCCCGGGCCUUGUACACACCGCCCGUCAAACAAUGGAAGCUGGGGGUACCUGAAGUCUGUAACCGCAAGGAGCGGCCUAGGGUAAAACUAGUAACUGGUGUUAAGUCGUAACAAGGUAACC
RNAcentral lists this ribosomal RNA (1481 nucleotides) under uncultured bacterium. RNAcentral describes it as "bacterial SSU rRNA". It matches the Rfam family "Bacterial small subunit ribosomal RNA". The record is from RNAcentral.